GUUGGAAGACUGGUUAAGUGUCAGGUGUGGUUCUUGGAUCCUUUAGUCAGAGUGGGAUUUUGGAAGCUUUUAUCUUCAUUAAUUUUUUUCCCUCUUGAACACAACAAAAUUGUCACAAACUCUGCUGAUUACUUUAUGUCUUAUUUGUUAUCUUCUGCCAAAGCAGCCUAGAAUCUCAGAAACAUCCCUGGCACUAUGGAUGACAAAUUCGUCAAGGAGAACUGUAGUUGUAAAAUGCUGGCUUACAUCCUGGUGGUAACCUUUCAAGUCCUGGCUGAUGCAGAAACCACAAUACCUUCAAACAGAGGGGAACUAUGGAGAAUUCAAAUAUGCUGAAUGAAGGAGAAAAGCAAAUUUGCCCAAGGCUCACCACCCAAUUGCAAUGAAAGCAUCACAAUGCUGUACAAAUCACGGAGAUUUGCCCCUGUCACUCGUCAUCACAGAUCCUGAAUCAUUUUCUGCAUCAGGACCCAAACACACUCUUGGUGACCCCAGGAGAUUUUGGUAGUCUGCGGCAGCAAGUACACUCUGGGGACUGAGGAUGAAGACGGUUCACAGGCGACUGGGCAGGACCUUUCUGAGGUCACAAUGAAGAUCACCGCUCAGGGCCACCCUGGUUGUGAUCACAGCUCGGCCAUCACUUAGAUACUGCUAGGAUACUCGUCCUCUUUCAAAAUUGUAGGGCUUAAAAAAAGCCCAACUCCCUCUUCCAAGAUUAGUCCCUUGGAAGGAAAAAGAGAAGACAGAGGAAUUCUCUUUGGGAUGCAUCUGUUGUGAGACAAGCUGAUUGAAGUCUUGCUGAAGUCUGAGGCAUGACAUGUUUGUGUGCGCACUGCACUGAAUUAAGGACUUCUGAACUGGGACACCUGGGUGGCUCAGCAGUUGAGCGUCUGCCUCUGGUUCAAGGCAUGAUCCCGGGAUCUGGGAUCGGGUACCACAUCGGUCCCCCUGUGAGGAGCCUCCUUCUCCCUCUGCUAUC
Canis lupus familiaris (dog) is the source of this 979-nucleotide long non-coding RNA. RefSeq lists it as uncharacterized. The transcript is spliced from 3 exons. Lineage: Eukaryota; Metazoa; Chordata; Mammalia; Carnivora; Canidae. The record is from RefSeq and is a predicted model, not a curated record.